This 452-nucleotide ribosomal RNA is filed under the name Clostridioides difficile. RNAcentral's name for it is "bacterial LSU rRNA". It matches the Rfam family "Bacterial large subunit ribosomal RNA", at positions 1413 to 1874 of the family's 2925-position model. The record is from RNAcentral. Lineage: Bacteria; Bacillati; Bacillota; Clostridia; Peptostreptococcales; Peptostreptococcaceae.
AGGUGAUGGACAACAGGUUGAUAUUCCUGUACUACCGAUAACCGUUUGAGAGAUGGGAUGACACAGUAGGAUAAGCUAAGCACACUGUUGGUUAUGUGUGCCCAAGCAUUGAGGCAGUCAAAGUAGGUAAAUCCGCUUUGAUAAUGCUGGGAUGGGAUGGGGAGCGAAAUUUAGUAGCGAAGUAGCUGAUUUCACACUGUCAAGAAAAGUCUCUAUCGAGGGUAAAGGUACCCGUACCGCAAACCGACACAGGUGGGUGAGGAGAGUAUCCUAAGGCCAGCGAGAGAACUGUUGUUAAGGAACUCGGCAAAAUGACCCCGUAACGUAGGGAUAAGGGGUGCCACCAUCCGGUGGCCGCAGAGAAUAGGCCCAAGCGACUGUUUACCAAAAACAUAGGUUUCUGCUAAGUCGCAAGACGAUGUAUAGGAGCUGACGCCUGCCCGGUGCUGGAA